UGUCCAGCAGUAUCAAAUAUUCAGCCAAGAUUUAAUUCUUUAUGUUAAAAUAAACAAGCACAUCAAUCUCAUUAGUAUGAAAAAUUGUGUUUAUUGUUAAUAAAUGGUGCAAUUAUCUGUAUACUGAAUAAUUGUUUUGGAGAGAAUGGAAAUUUACUGAGAAAGGCAGUGAAACAUUAAAGCUGAGAGGAGGAGGUGCUGGAGGGACUUGAAAUAAGAAUGAAAUUCUUUGCUAGUCAAAACAGCAGGAGAACAGGAGUUUUUGAUAGGAAAUUGGGAAUAUUGAAGUGGGAGAAGGUUCGAGGGAUGGGACUUUAUGACCUAAAGAAUAGGAAGGGGGAGUGCAGGAAGGAGGAAAGAAAUGGGGAAAUUGCUGGAAUGAAGAUAGAUAAGAGGCACCAAGAGGACUCCCAACAUGCAGGUGGCUACAUAAUUGGCUAGGUAGAUUGAGAGAGGGAGGGAGGGAUACUUGUGUAAGUAGGUAGGUAGAGAGAUUUCUAAUAGUUUUUAUUUCCUACGGGAGCAACUCUUCUGUAAAACUCAUUAUAUAUUUUCCUCUCAAAAGUAAGCGACUCAAAAGCUAUUUGGAUUACAAGGCAAUGGUACAUGAUAAUAAACUGUUCCUGGGAAAACAAAUUUCCCCUCCAGCUGCUGUGGGGAGUGCAGCUAAAUAAUAAGAGAGUCCAGUGUGGAUAGAAGAUGAGUCCUGCCUAAUCAAAACAUCAUGGGGCUUCAAACCUGUAAGUUCUGGGUACACUACACCACUGUUUAAAAUGCUCAAACAUCCUUUCAAUGUCUCUGUUCGCAUGCAGCGUUGUGCCAGCCAAACAGUCAUUUGAAAGCUGCCCGUCUGUUAUCACCUUCUGUCUUUCUGAGGAGCCAAUAAUGAUCCUGAAAGUAGUCCAUUUGACAAUAUUGGAAUGGAGGGAGGAAUGAAAAAGGCUCUCCCUAUGAGGGACCGCAAGGGGGAAAUGCCUUGGAAGGAGCUGCUUUUAGAGAUAGGAACAGAAUCUCUUGUGAAGGAAGACAGAAGGAAUGGAAGUUAGAACCAAGUCUAUCUCAGGCCUCG
RNAcentral lists this long non-coding RNA (1069 nucleotides) under Anolis carolinensis (green anole). RNAcentral describes it as "lncRNA (ENSACAG00000040016.1)". Lineage: Eukaryota; Metazoa; Chordata; Lepidosauria; Squamata; Anolidae. The record is from RNAcentral.